AACGAACGCUGGCGGCAUGCCUAACACAUGCAAGUCGAACGAGACCUUCGGGUCUAGUGGCGCACGGGUGCGUAACGCGUGGGAACCUGCCCUUAGGUUCGGAAUAACUCCCCGAAAGGGGUGCUAAUACCGGAUAAUGUCUUCGGACCAAAGAUUUAUCGCCUUUGGAUGGGCCCGCGUUGGAUUAGCUAGUUGGUAGGGUAAAAGCCUACCAAGGCGACGAUCCAUAGCUGGUCUGAGAGGAUGAUCAGCCACACUGGGACUGAGACACGGCCCAGACCCCUCGGGGGGGCAGCAGUGGGGAAUAUGGGAAAAGGGGCGAAAGCCUGACCCAGCAAGGCCGGGUGAGUGAUGAAGGCCUUGGGGUUGUAAAGCUUUUUUCCCCGGGAUGAUAAUGACAGUACCGGGAGAAUAAGCCCCGGCAAACUCCGU
This 432-nucleotide ribosomal RNA is filed under the name uncultured bacterium. RNAcentral describes it as "partial 16S ribosomal RNA". It matches the Rfam family "Bacterial small subunit ribosomal RNA", at positions 29 to 506 of the family's 1533-position model. The record is from RNAcentral.